GAUGAACGCUAGCGGGAGGCUUAAUACAUGCAAGUCGAACGGUAAGGUCAGAGCUUGCUCUGAUACACGAGUGGCGCACGGGUGAGUAACGCGUACGCAAUCUACCCUUAAGAGGGGGAUAGCCCUGGGAAACUGGGAGUAAUCCGCCAUAGUAUAUAGAUGAGGCAUCUCAUUUAUAUUAAAGUUUCGGUGCUUAAGGAUGAGCGUGCGUCCUAUUAGAUAGUUGGUGAGGUAACGGCUCACCAAGUCGAUGAUAGGUAGGGGGCGUGAGAGCGUGAUCCCCCACACGGGUACUGAGACACGGACCCGACUCCUACGGGAGGCAGCAGUAAGGAAUAUUGGACAAUGGGCGGCAGCCUGAUCCAGCCAUCCCGCGUGCAGGAAGACGGCCCUCUGGGUUGUAAACUGCUUUUAUAUACCAAGAAACGCCUUCACGUGUGAGGGUUUGACGGUAGUAUAUGAAUAAGCACCGGCUAACUCCG
RNAcentral lists this ribosomal RNA (482 nucleotides) under uncultured Saprospiraceae bacterium. Its description in RNAcentral is "bacterial SSU rRNA". It matches the Rfam family "Bacterial small subunit ribosomal RNA", at positions 28 to 505 of the family's 1533-position model. Lineage: Bacteria; Pseudomonadati; Bacteroidota; Saprospiria; Saprospirales; Saprospiraceae. The record is from RNAcentral.